AAUUUUGCUCAAUGGGCGCAAGCCUGAAGCAGCGACGCCGCGUGAAUGAUGAAGUCUUUCGGGAUGUAAAGUUCUGUCGACGGGGACAAUAAUGAUGGUACCCGUAGAGGAAGCACCGGCAAACUAUGUGCCAGCAGCCGCGGUAAUACAUAGGGUGCAAGCGUUAUCCGGAUUUACUGGGCGUAAAGCGUAUGUAGGCGGUAUUUUAAGUCAAACUUCAAAUCCCGGGGCUCAACCUCGGUUCGGGUUUGAUACUGAAAUACUAGAGUUUGGGAGAGGAAAGCGGAACUAACAGUGUAGCGGUGAAAUGCGUAGAUAUUGUUAGGAACACCCGUGGCGAAGGCGGCUUUCUGGAUCAACACUGACGCUGAGAUACGAAAGCGUGGGGAGCAA
RNAcentral lists this ribosomal RNA (393 nucleotides) under uncultured bacterium. Its description in RNAcentral is "bacterial SSU rRNA". It matches the Rfam family "Bacterial small subunit ribosomal RNA", at positions 360 to 771 of the family's 1533-position model. The record is from RNAcentral.